Molecule: long non-coding RNA, 386 nt
Organism: Gossypium arboreum
Lineage: Eukaryota; Viridiplantae; Streptophyta; Magnoliopsida; Malvales; Malvaceae
Exons: 2
Source: RefSeq, a predicted model, not a curated record
UCACCGUCCAGUAAUUUUAUAAAACUCUCCUCCCCAAAACGCACCGAAAAACUGUCUAUAAAACGAGGUCGGGAUCCGAGAGCAUCAUUGCAAAACCCUAAUUCACGUUUAGCGCGUCGGCCGCCAUCUUAGUUUCUUCAGCCAUCUGUUUGAUCUCUAGCUGAUGACUGGUAAAUUCUUUCAAUGAAAACCAGUUUGUUAAUACUGCGAAUGACCUGAUAUAGCUAUGAGAUCUGAGGGCUUUGUUCAACAUUUUGAAUGUCGGGGUUUGUUAUCCAGAAUUUGAUUUAUAAUAAUCUUGUUUUACAUUAUAGCGAUAAACAUUAAAUUGAUAGAAUGUUUUAAAGGAUAUCCAUUAUCGAGAAUUUUAGAAAUUAAAUUGAAAA